CCCUUAGAUGUCCUGGGCCGCACGCGCGUUACACUGAUGCAUUCAACGAGCUUAUAACCUUGGCCGAGAGGCCUGGGCAAUCUUGUUAACGUGCAUCGUGAUAGGGAUAGACUAUUGAAAUUAUUAAUCUUGAACGAGGAAUUCCUAGUAAACGCAGAUCAUCAAUCUGCAUUGAUUACGUCCCUGCCCUUUGUACACACCGCCCGUCGCACCUACCGAUUGGAUGGUCCGGUGAAGCCUCGGGAUUGUGGUUCUUGCCGCUUUAUUGUGGCGUGACCGCGAGAACUUGUCUAAACCUUAUCAUCUAGAGGAAGGUGAAGUCGUAACA
Molecule: ribosomal RNA, 328 nt
Filed under: uncultured eukaryote
Lineage: Eukaryota
Description: partial 18S ribosomal RNA
Rfam family: Eukaryotic small subunit ribosomal RNA
Source: RNAcentral